Molecule: ribosomal RNA, 253 nt
Filed under: uncultured bacterium
Lineage: Bacteria
Description: partial 16S ribosomal RNA
Rfam family: Bacterial small subunit ribosomal RNA
Source: RNAcentral
UACGUAGGGGGCAAGCGUUGUCCGGAAUUACUGGGCGUAAAGAGCUCGUAGGUGGUUUGUCGCGUUGUCCGUGAAAACUCACAGCUUAACUGUGGGCGUGCGGGCGAUACGGGCAGACUGGAGUACUGCAGGGGAGACUGGAAUUCCUGGUGUAGCGGUGGAAUGCGCAGAUAUCAGGAGGAACACCGGUGGCGAAGGCGGGUCUCUGGGCAGUAACUGACGCUGAGGAGCGAAAGCGUGGGGAGCGAACAGG